Molecule: ribosomal RNA, 1121 nt
Filed under: Escherichia coli
Lineage: Bacteria; Pseudomonadati; Pseudomonadota; Gammaproteobacteria; Enterobacterales; Enterobacteriaceae
Description: partial 23S ribosomal RNA
Rfam family: Bacterial large subunit ribosomal RNA
Source: RNAcentral
AUGAGGCGAACCGGGGGAACUGAAACAUCUAAGUACCCCGAGGAAAAGAAAUCAACCGAGAUUCCCCCAGUAGCGGCGAGCGAACGGGGAGGAGCCCAGAGCCUGAAUCAGUGUGUGUGUUAGUGGAAGCGUCUGGAAAGGCGCGCGAUACAGGGUGACAGCCCCGUACACAAAAAUGCACAUGCUGUGAGCUCGAUGAGUAGGGCGGGACACGUGGUAUCCUGUCUGAAUAUGGGGGGACCAUCCUCCAAGGCUAAAUACUCCUGACUGACCGAUAGUGAACCAGUACCGUGAGGGAAAGGCGAAAAGAACCCCGGCGAGGGGAGUGAAAAAGAACCUGAAACCGUGUACGUACAAGCAGUGGGAGCACAGAGCAAUCUGUGUGACUGCGUACCUUUUGUAUAAUGGGUCAGCGACUUAUAUUCUGUAGCAAGGUUAACCGAAUAGGGGAGCCGAAGGGAAACCGAGUCUUAACUGGGCGUUAAGUUGCAGGGUAUAGACCCGAAACCCGGUGAUCUAGCCAUGGGCAGGUUGAAGGUUGGGUAACACUAACUGGAGGACCGAACCGACUAAUGUUGAAAAAUUAGCGGAUGACUUGUGGCUGGGGGUGAAAGGCCAAUCAAACCGGGAGAUAGCUGGUUCUCCCCGAAAGCUAUUUAGGUAGCGCCUCGUGAAUUCAUCUCCGGGGGUAGAGCACUGUUUCGGCAAGGGGGUCAUCCCGACUUACCAACCCGAUGCAAACUGCGAAUACCGGAGAAUGUUAUCACGGGAGACACACGGCGGGUGCUAACGUCCGUCGUGAAGAGGGAAACAACCCAGACCGCCAGCUAAGGUCCCAAAGUCAUGGUUAAGUGGGAAACGAUGUGGGAAGGCCCAGACAGCCAGGAUGUUGGCUUAGAAGCAGCCAUCAUUUAAAGAAAGCGUAAUAGCUCACUGGUCGAGUCGGCCUGCGCGGAAGAUGUAACGGGGCUAAACCAUGCACCGAAGCUGCGGCAGCGACGCUGAUGCGUUGUUGGGUAGGGGAGCGUUCUGUAAGCCUGUGAAGGUGUGCUGUGAGGCAUGCUGGAGGUAUCAGAAGUGCGAAUGCUGACAUAAGUAACGAUAAAGCGGGUGAAAAGCCC